RNAcentral lists this ribosomal RNA (246 nucleotides) under uncultured bacterium. RNAcentral's name for it is "partial 16S ribosomal RNA". It matches the Rfam family "Bacterial small subunit ribosomal RNA", at positions 86 to 334 of the family's 1533-position model. The record is from RNAcentral.
AGAUGGCGACCGGCGCACGGGUGAGUAACACGUAUCCAACCUGCCGAUAACUCGGGGAUAGCCUUUCGAAAGAAAGAUUAAUACCCGAUGGCAUAAUAGAACCGCAUGUUUGAUUAUUAAAGAAUUUCGGUUAUCGAUGGGGAUGCGUUCCAUUAGGCAGUUGGUGGGGUAACGGCCCACCAAACCUUCGAUGGAUAGGGGUUCUGAGAGGAAGGUCCCCCACAUUGGAACUGAGACACGGUCCAA